Molecule: ribosomal RNA, 253 nt
Filed under: uncultured bacterium
Lineage: Bacteria
Description: partial 16S ribosomal RNA
Rfam family: Bacterial small subunit ribosomal RNA
Source: RNAcentral
UACGUAGGGUGCAAGCGUUGUCCGGAAUUAUUGGGCGUAAAGAGCUCGUAGGCGGUCUGUCGCGUCGGCUGUGAAAACUCGGGGCUCAACCCCGAGCCUGCAGUCGAUACGGGCAGACUAGAGUGCUGUAGGGGAGACUGGAAUUCCUGGUGUAGCGGUGAAAUGCGCAGAUAUCAGGAGGAACACCGGUGGCGAAGGCGGGUCUCUGGGCAGUAACUGACGCUGAGGAGCGAAAGCGUGGGGAGCGAACGGG